CAGUAGCCGCGGGAAUACGUAGGUGGCAAGCGUUGUCCGGAAUUAUUGGGCGUAAAGCGCGCGCAGGCGGAUAGGUCAGUCUGUCUUAAAAGUUCGGGGCUUAACCCCGUGAUGGGAUGGAAACUGCCAAUCUAGAGUAUCGGAGAGGAAAGUGGAAUUCCUAGUGUAGCGGUGAAAUGCGUAGAUAUUAGGAAGAACACCAGUGGCGAAGGCGACUUUCUGGACGAAAACUGACGCUGAGGCGCGAAAGCCAGGGGAGCGAACGGGAUUAGAGACCCGCGUAGUCCCUGUCUCUUAUACC
This 301-nucleotide ribosomal RNA is filed under the name uncultured bacterium. Its description in RNAcentral is "partial 16S ribosomal RNA". It matches the Rfam family "Bacterial small subunit ribosomal RNA", at positions 509 to 808 of the family's 1533-position model. The record is from RNAcentral.